This 228-nucleotide ribosomal RNA is filed under the name uncultured bacterium. RNAcentral describes it as "partial 16S ribosomal RNA". It matches the Rfam family "Bacterial small subunit ribosomal RNA", at positions 15 to 224 of the family's 1533-position model. The record is from RNAcentral.
GAUCAUGGCUCAGGAUGAACGCUGGCGGCGUGCCUAACGCAUGCAAGUCGAACGAAGCUUGACGGAUGAUUUCUUCGGAAUGAAACCAGAUAUGACUUAGUGGCGGACGGGUGAGUAACACGUGAGCAACCUGCCUUUCAGAGGGGGAUAACGGCUGGAAACGGUCGCUAAUACCGCAUGAUGUGUUCGGAUGGCAUCAUCUGAACAUCAAAGAUUUAUCGCUGAAAG